Molecule: transfer RNA, 77 nt
Filed under: Chloroflexota bacterium
Lineage: Bacteria; Bacillati; Chloroflexota
Also listed under: 2 other names
Description: tRNA-Val
Rfam family: tRNA
About the family: Transfer RNA (tRNA) molecules are approximately 80 nucleotides in length.
Source: RNAcentral
GGGCGCAUAGCUCAGUUGGCCAGAGCGCACGGUUCACAUCCGUGAGGUCACAGGUUCAAGUCCUGUUGCGCCCACCA